UGACCAGAGAUUCUUCUGUACAUGGGCCUGGUCCCAUCCUCGUCAAAAACUGCUGUCAAAGAUGGCCACCUGAAGCCGAGUGCAUGUGCAUAUUCGGAAUGGUGUGGACUUCACUAAGCAGUGUGUUUGGUUGUGGCCAGACAGUAAGACAUGUUCCUUCCACGUGAGCUGAAAGAGGAGCAGGCCCGCUUGCUGCUGUCUGAGGAAGGGAAGGAGCAGCUGAUGUUUGAGGUCCCUCUCAACGAUUCGGGCUCAGCUGGGUAA
RNAcentral lists this long non-coding RNA (264 nucleotides) under Carassius auratus (goldfish). RNAcentral describes it as "lncRNA (ENSCARG00000055593.1)". Lineage: Eukaryota; Metazoa; Chordata; Actinopteri; Cypriniformes; Cyprinidae. The record is from RNAcentral.